Long non-coding RNA from Temnothorax curvispinosus, 442 nucleotides. RefSeq lists it as uncharacterized. The record is from RefSeq and is a predicted model, not a curated record. The transcript is spliced from 2 exons. NCBI's taxonomy places the organism in Eukaryota, Metazoa, Arthropoda, Insecta, Hymenoptera, Formicidae.
AAUAAAUAGAGGAUCGGAGAUCGGAGAUAUGAUUUAGUUUCGACUUCACUCUUGAGUGUUUCAAUUGCCACGGUGCUUCCACGUCCUAUUGAAUUUGUCUGUUUCAAAAAAAUAAAGAUACUAUGAAUCGACCUAACUCGUAUAUCAGCGUCGAUGCUAAAGAAGAAAUCGUAAUCUCUGGUAUUGCUGGCCGAUUUCCUAAUAGCGACAAUUUAAAAGAAUUUCAAGAAAAUCUUUUUAACAAGGCGGAUCUUGGUUCGAGCGAUCAUGGACGAUGGAAUGAUUGUAAUAAUUUUUUUUUAACAUUAAGGAGGUUGAUUGUUCAAAUCAAUAUGAUAAGAAUUAGUUCAAAUUUAUGGAGGAUAUUUGUCUAUAUGGGAAUCUGUCGUCCAUGCCAAAGUUGAAGACAAUUGUCUGCAUGGUUGUCGAGUAAUUAAUUAUU